This 508-nucleotide ribosomal RNA is filed under the name uncultured bacterium. RNAcentral describes it as "bacterial SSU rRNA". It matches the Rfam family "Bacterial small subunit ribosomal RNA", at positions 28 to 526 of the family's 1533-position model. The record is from RNAcentral.
GAUAAACGCUAGCGGCAGGCCUAACACAUGCAAGUCGAGGGGCAGCAUAAAAGUAGUUUACUACUUUAGAUGGCGACCGGCGCACGGGUGCGUAACGCGUAUGCAACCUACCUUUAACAGGGGGAUAAUUCGGAGAAAUCUGGUCUAAUACCCCAUAAUAAUUUAUAAGGCAUCUUAUGGAUUUGAAAACUCCGGUGGUUAAAGAUGGGCAUGCGUUGUAUUAGCCAGUUGGUGAGGUAACGGCUCACCAAAGCUACGAUACAUAGGGGGACUGAGAGGUUUUCCCCCCACCCUGGUACUGAGACGCGGACCAGACUCCUACGGGAGGCAGCAGUGAGGAAUAUUGGUCAAUGGACGCAAGUCUGAACCAGCCAUGCCGCGUGCAGGAAGACGGCUCUACGAGUUGUAAACUGCUUUUGUACGAGGGUAAACACAGAUACGAGUAUCUGUCUGAAAGUACCGUACGAAUAAGGAUCGGCUAACUCCGUGCCAGCCGCCGCCGUAACAC